AGCAGCCGCGGUAAUUCCAGCUCCAAUAGCGUAUAUUAAAGUUGUUGCAGUUAAAAAGCUCGUAGUUGAAUUUCGGGGUUAGUAGGUUGGUCGUGCCACCGGUAUGUACUGGCUCUACUGAUCCCUCCUUCUUGUAGAACCGUAAUGCCAUUAACUUGGUGUUGCGGGGAAACAGGACUGUUACUUUGAAAAAAUUGGAGUGUUUAAAGCAGGCUAACGCUUGAAUACAUUAGCAUGGAAUAAUGAAAUAGGACGCUCGAUCCUAUUUUGUUGGUUUCUAGGAUUGACGUAAUGAUUAAUAGGGAUAGUUGGGGGCAUUAGUAUUCAAUUGUCAGAGGUGAAAUUCUUGGAUUUAUUGAGGACUAACUACUGCGAAAGCAUUUGCCAGGAUGUUUUCAUUAACCAAGAACGAAGUUAGGGGAUCGAAGACGAUCAGAUACCGUCGUAGUCUUAACCAUAAACUAUGCCGACUAGGGAUCGGAUGAUGUUAAUUUUUAAUGACUCAUUCGGCGCCUUACGG
This 520-nucleotide ribosomal RNA is filed under the name uncultured Glomus. RNAcentral's name for it is "SSU rRNA". It matches the Rfam family "Eukaryotic small subunit ribosomal RNA", at positions 569 to 1093 of the family's 1831-position model. Lineage: Eukaryota; Fungi; Glomeromycota; Glomeromycetes; Glomerales; Glomeraceae. The record is from RNAcentral.